GGUAGAGGUCUGGGCACAGCGAGACUCACCUGGGUGUCACAAGGCUGAAAUCAAGGUUGGCAGCAGUUACGGCGAAGCUGGGCAGCUACCAGACAAGAGGAGAGUGAGGCAGAGACUACCUGGAGAGUAAAACCGCAGCAACGGUUGUGACUAACAGUCCUUGCUGAGGCAGCAGUGAGUGUGGCCAAGGCUGAUAUAAGGAGCGGACCCUGUCUUUGGCAACAAGAAGAAACGAAAUACUGACCCGUGUUGCAUUCGACCCAGCAUCAUAGAAACAUGGUGCCGUGGGAAAGAAACCAGUCACAACAUACCACCUCCUGUGGGAUCCCAUUUAUGUGAAAUGCCCAGAACGGGCAAAUCAAAAGAGCCAACGGGUAGACCCGUGGUCUCCUGGGACUGGGCAAUUUGGGGAGAAAGUGGGGAAUGAGUUCUGAUAAACACAGGGCUUCCUUUGAGGAUGACAGAAAUGUUUCUAGACGUGUGCCCAAGUGAGACUUUACAAAUAUUUCCCAUAUUGCAUCAUUUCAAAUCUGCCUAAUUGCAACUCAUACAGAAUGCUGCCACCGUGGACUAUCACCAACGCAAAAUGAAGGAAGAGAUGCUCGAAUUCACACAGCUGAUAAGAGGAAGGGCCAGGAUUGGAACCCAGCUUUGCUGGCGGGCAGACUUCUUCCUUCCCUUGCAAGAUGCUAGCAGCGGCACUGUGCCCUACCACUGGGGGGAAAAGGCGUCUGGCAGCCGCUAAUGUUUAUGGCACAUGUAGUAUUUAUUUUGUUCGGCGUGGUGCUCCAGGCUUGAUAUCUGCUACCCUUUGGGGGCAUUACCAUUAUCCCCCUUCUGCAGAGGAGUUAUGCAAAGCUCAGAGAGGUAAGACGCCAUGUUCAAGGGCUCUCAAUUAUCAAUGGAAACAUAACUGAAAACCAGACCUUUUGGACACGGGAGCCAGUGGUCUCGACCCCUGGGCUGCACUCUUGUUAGAACACAUCGAUCUCCCCAAUGAACUGACAGGCACAUCCUGAAGAUGCAUGUCCAGUUGACUCCCUGACAAGCCCAAAAAUUAAUAUUCUGUGAAAACCUUCUAGAGCCCUCUUAACAUUCCCUGUAUCUUUCCCCUUCCUCCCUAGUCCUUGGGAUGUGGAUACUGAUGUAAAUGGCAGCCACACGAUGAUGCGCAUUAUUGGAGCAUUUUCGGACAAUCGGGGCUGGACUCUGAUCUGAAAUGACUGUGACAAGAGAAAAUGAAAACCGCUAUGCUAAGGAAGUUUCCAUCAAGGGGCACUGGGUAUGUUUUUAAUCUAAUAAAGAAUACCUAAGGACAGAGA
Molecule: long non-coding RNA, 1322 nt
Organism: Panthera uncia (snow leopard)
Lineage: Eukaryota; Metazoa; Chordata; Mammalia; Carnivora; Felidae
Exons: 3
Source: RefSeq, a predicted model, not a curated record